AAAGUUACGAAUUUAUGAAGAUUUUCAUUCCAGCAGCCUUCCAUUCCAGUUGCUGCAUGGGCAACCGCAUGCGUACUUCAGCUACUUUGCUUUGCUGCUAGACAGCUGGCAACAUUUUGCGAAUACAUGUAUACUAGUAUAAAGGCAAACAAAAUCAGCAAGAAAAAAGAAUGGAAAAAAAAAAGAAAAAAGAAAAAAUUCAAGAAAAAAGAAUGGACUGCUCUGUAAAUAGUAAGUAUGCUCUCUCGCUAGACGUGGACUAAUUAGAGUUUAAACUGCUCAGUUCGGAGUGACUUGUUCCUUUUUAAAAUGGCUGAAAUUGAAGAUAGUCGAUUGACGAAAAUGCGUUUACGGGCGUUCAUGGACGAGUGCAGCGCACUGGAAAUAGGCCACGAUAAAACGCUGGAUAUUCUGAUUAAAAGCAAAAGCGACGCCACCUUCGACUUCAACGCAGCGCUACAAGCCCUGAAGCUGGAGAUCCCCAUUUGGUCGGAAGAAGAAAAGGAAUUAUUUCACCGAUAUGUCUGUCGUUAUGGAGACAAAUUCUUUAUUCUUCUGCCCAGUUCUUUAACGAAUGCGAUCGCUGACGGACCCCACGUGCCCAUCGUUUCGAAAGCGAUCGCAAUGAAAAGGUAGCGGCCGACCAAAUAGGAGUACAAUCUGGAUUUCUUUUCCUCUGCUUGCACAGCGGCCGCUCCCGCGGUAGCGGAAGAGGCUUUAACAUGCGACGGUGCAACCGUAUCUACACAAGUUACGUCCCACGCGAGACACAGUCCGCGUUUCCAAGCAAAGGUCGUGCAGCCGUCCGGGCGACGUUCAGUAGUAUGUGAAGUACCGCGUGGUUCCAGUUUCGCCGGUACACCCGCGGACACCAGACUCCUACAUAUGAUACUGUUCAGCCCUCCAUGUCGCGGAUGCCUUCCGGCGGAAAAGGCGCAAGACAGUCCGUGGUGCCCAUAGCCAUCCACGGGUUUGUGGCAUUUGACGCAGUCAUGAGGCACACAGAUCGUGGCACCAAGACGGAGGCCGAUGCUAAUCUUCAGCUCGUCGUCCCCGAGCAGGUUGCCGAUGUGUGCAGAAGGCAGGGCAUUCAACCAGAUGCCGGCUUCUGGCUUAGUUAAUUUUUCUGGCUUAGUUUUUUUUUCUUGGUUAAUUUCUGAUUAUUCAAUUAGUGACAUCACUGACUCGGUAUCGUAUUAAGGCAGUUUGAACUUGAAGCGUAGUGCAUAUGAAGGAGACUUUUCUACGUACUACUUACUGUACUAGUCUCCAAGUGUUCAUUUUUAUUGACUCGUGAGUUGGUUAUUGGCUAGAAUUUUAAACAUUACAUGUGACAUAUCACAUUUAUAUUUAGAAAUAAUUAUUACAAAGCAAAAUAACCAGCAUUGACACCAUGCGAACGUGGGACGGUCGACGUAACAGACUAUUUGUUGGUGUGUUUUUUGCAGGUUCCGCAAACAGUUUCCUCGUUUCUGCUAUGGGGAUUUGGUUAGGCAAUAUAAUUUGCAUUAUAAAGCCCAGAGCGAAAGCCCAGAGCGAAGGUAUCCUCGUAGAAAGCCGACUCGCAUGUCGCUUAGCGAUCUGGAAUCUGGAAAACAUCGAUCUCGCUCUGUUAAGCGCAAAGAAGUGUCUGCGAAAGCGGUGAUAACGCCACAGCCCCCUGUGAGAGAUGACCAGCCCGGAAGUGUACAGCCGACGUUUGGCGCCGUGAACGAAACCCAAGUGACUGGAGCGGCAAACGACGAAGUUGUUUGUUCUCCCCGUCAAGCCACGCCUGCAGCCGAAGCAGGUGACAGCAUUUAAUUGCGAAUCACUGGGGAGUAUGUUGUCCGAAAGUGUGGAAGAAAAUAAAGCAGUCGCCGUUUCCAUCGAAAUUAUCAGCGCUCUUUUUCCGAGCGCUAGCAAAGGUCGUAAAAGAGCCGGAGGAAAGGUGUACGGGUGUGCAAACUGCAGAAAGUAUUUGAAUGUCGGUAGAAAGGAUCACGCAGAGACCCAUUUGGAGUCGUGCUUUGAACGACGCGGUCGCAGGCGCGUAAAAAGUCCGCUUCGUUUGCUUCGAAUCAUUGGAAUUGGUCCAAACGUUAGAUCUGAUCGGAUUUCGGUUAAAGUAGAAGAUUGGGAAGCUAGUCUCCGCCGUGUAGAAUGGCCUGUUUUGAGCCUGAAAAUCAAAGACGCAUUGCAGAGUGCUUACGUUGAAUACAAAGACGGCACUAUUCGGUUGUCUUCACACCAGUACAAGGUUAAUGCACGCGCCCGGGGACAAACAGAGAAGUGGAUUCUGGGCCAUCUCGCACAGGAACCUGGGUAACACCAUCCGGGCGUUUUCCGUUCUCUGUACACAUUCCUGGAGGCUUCAGUUCACACCGAACACCCGCUGCGGAGAAUAAUUUUUCCACGAUUUUGCUCAUUUUACAGUGUUAUCUUCCUUUGUUGGACAGACAAGAAGGGCCAUGAUGUCCAUUAGACUAAAUAGUAUUGUUCCACGCGCGUAUGAGUCGUAUGACACGCAUCGCGGUUAAAAAACCGUGUUUCAGUAAUUGGACCUGGUUUAUUACCACUCAAAGAACUGUAUGUACUACGGUACAGCAUACAGUAGUCUACAGUACCUUUGAACUUUUCUGUUGUAGGUGGUUUGGCGGUUUUUGUAUCUUACAAUUAUGUACUGAGUGUGAUCUGACAAAUAAAAUCAGUCUAC
Paramacrobiotus metropolitanus is the source of this 2695-nucleotide RNA transcript. RefSeq lists it as uncharacterized. The transcript is spliced from 5 exons. The record is from RefSeq and is a predicted model, not a curated record. Lineage: Eukaryota; Metazoa; Tardigrada; Eutardigrada; Parachela; Macrobiotidae.